AAGCGAUGUGUCCACAGGGCAAGAGAAUCAACAGUGAGGGCUUGGAACUGAUUUAACAGCCUGCUUGUCAGAAGUCCUCUACAGAGUGGUCAUCGCGCACUUGCCCUUUCAAAGUCUUUGUUAUGAAGAGCAAGUUAAAGUGGAUUUUCUUUUUUUGGUCUGGAAAUAGGGAUCUGUUUUUGCGCUGCAGAUGGUCAGGACGCACUAUUCAUCUUAAGGAUAACUUGACAUUUGUUGAUCUUUCAUUAGGGGAAGUAUGGUAUUUAAGAGCAUGGACUUUGGAGCCAGACUGUCUUGGAUUAUUGGAUUCCUGGAUCUGUUGCUUCCUAGCUAUGUAAACUUAAGCAAAUUACAUGACCUCCUAGGCCUCAAUUUAUCUUUUAAAGGAAUAAUUCAUGUAAAAUGCUUAGCACAAUGAUUGGCCCUUAUUAGGCCUACUACAAAUGUAAGCUAUUAUUAUUCCUAUCCAUAAUUUUGCCUUAAGAAUCCUGUAGUAUCUUUCAAACCAUCUUAUUUACUUAUUUACAGUACAUAAACAAAGAGGAGAUGCUCUCCUUAAGAUUAUUAAGGUUCUCAGCUGGACUGAACAGGAGCAAAAGCCUUUCUAAUAUAAUCUUACUUCCUUCUUCUGAAGGAACACUUUCUUUGUGUUACUGUUUGCAAAACGGCAUGUAUUUCUGGGAGUAUUUAUCCAGCCUGGUGAUCCUGCCUGUCUCCUUAGAGGGGAGCUUACUCAACAAAAAUGAAGCACUGGUGAUGGAGAAAGAAAAGUCCAUUAGCAACAAAGGAUGGGGAAGUAAGCCUCAUUUAACUAUAUAGUUGCAAGUAGGGGUUUCUGGUUGGUGAUUCCAGCACAUCUUCACUGAUGUCUGUGAUGGUCCUCAUACACACCAACCUGAACAGCGCAAGAGCCCCUCCCGCACAUGAGACAGCAGAGCAGAAUGAGAAGAAGGAGGUACAGAAGUUAAGUGAGCUGUUCAGGGUAUCAUCUGCCCUUAGGCAAGCCAGAGCAAUGCAGACAUGUCAGGAGUAGUGAACUGAAUUCAGACAAGAUCUCCAAAAUCAAGGACAGGGGGCCAUGAGGAAGGACAACGAAGACCUUAGAUCUCCAUGUGUCAGAGCUGGGAAAUGUGAGAAAGGCAAGCUGGAGAUUAAACCUGGCUUAACAUUUCAAGCGCACAUCUCCUCUUCCCUUUUCAGAAAGCGACUUUGUUGUGGUUUUGCUCCCCACGUGGGUGCUGAGCUGAUCAGCAGUAUCAGACCCUAAAAAGAGCUGAGUUCCUCCCUGAGAAUGACCUGGCCGCGGAGUCGGCGCCUUGCAGGGCAGGGCUCAGUUACUGGACAGCACCCCUCAGGACUCAUGUUGGUGUGGAUCCUGUUCUUGCAAAGAUGCACCAGAUUUUAAGUGAAAGGAAUCAACAAGACGUAAGCCCUUGUAGGAACUUUCUGAUUUUCCUAACAGCAACCCCUCUUGCCAUCCCAGCCAGAUGGUCCCCUGUUCUCCGCCACCCAAAAGCGAGUCUCCUCUCCGGCCUUUGUUGCUGAACUCUCUCUGUCCUGGCCACAGUCUGGACAGUGGCCACCGGCACUGCUGCCAGGCAGACACGCUGACACUACCGCCACUCCGCUCACCGUGCCCCCACCCCGCACGGCCACCACAUCGGAUCGCGUCGCGGAGAACCCCAGCGAGCUGAGUGCCUGUGUGCGGUAGGUAAUGAGGAGGCC
This is a long non-coding RNA of Vulpes vulpes (red fox), 1725 nucleotides long. The record is from Ensembl. NCBI's taxonomy places the organism in Eukaryota, Metazoa, Chordata, Mammalia, Carnivora, Canidae.